GAGAAGACUGCUACCAUGUUCUUCAGGAGGAUUACAAUGACUUUCUGAGGAUUAAAAUGACCUUCUAACAGGCAUUGCAUCACAGGAAUUCAAGUUUAUUGCAUAAUUAAUCAAAAUCAAGUUAAAUGGAAUCUUUAUCCAAUUUUUAAUUUCUUCAUAUAUUAAUGUACCUUGCCCUAGUCCAGAAAACCUCUUGGACUUUCCCCCUUUCUGGCCAAGAUGAGCAUCUGCAACUCAUCCCUACACAGAACAGUUCACAAAGACAGACUGCCACAUGACCCAUGCUUUAUUCCCAUCUUUCCUCUCCUACCAUCCCUCACCCAGUGCUCUCUUCCUCCUACCCUCCCUUCCUUUCUCUCUUUGAUCUUCUCCUCUGUGUCUCGCAUUCUGCUCCCUCACAAAGGUCCUGUUUCUACCCAUCUCUUCUUCCUGAAGGAGCACCAUCUUUGUCCCAGUUUCAACGAUGUCCUCCAACAGGUCACUCUGGUUUGGAGUUCUGAGUUGACAUUAAAGUUUUGAUGCUGAGGUAGAAGAAACUCCCACACAGGGACCAGGCUGUGGUCAUGGAAAAGGCACUAUGGCCAAGUCAGGAAGCAUCAUUUCAUUUCCCUUGGAGAGGAAUGGAAAGAAGGUUGUAGCAUGGAGUCGUGCUUCCUUUACCAAAAGUCCCUAUGUACACCUCUGUAGGAGUUGUCACAAAUAGGCUUACAUUUGUUUAUAGAUUAUUUUUUAAGCCUUUGAAUAUCUUAUAUAAAUUCAUGUGAAAGGUUACAAAUGAACAAACAACAAAAUAAUGAUAGUCAUGCAAGAGAUCCUUUGCGGUGAUGAAGAAGAGAGAAGAGAUGGCAUUGCUGAGCUGGGAAGAGGAGUUACUUAGUGGACUCCUACAGAAUGGGGGUGAGGCUGGCAGUAGUGCUAUUCCGCCCUAGCCUCUGCUCCUUUGCUGCACCCGAUUCCCUCAACCCACUUCACUCUGAGGGGGGUCCUUAGAAAUACUUGACCUUGCAGGCAGAACCCUGAGACAGGAAACUGGGGAAAAUCAUAGCCCUUGUCCCUGAGGUAUUUCUAAUAUCACUAAUAGAUGGAUCAAAGGAUUCCCUCCAUGCCCCCAAAUUAUUAAACACAUAAAAAUAGCAUCUUCUCUCAUCUUUGUUUUUUAGCAACAUAAACAAUGAUGCUAUUUUUUCCUGAGUUAUCUAAACUCCAAGAAUCAAGUGAUCUAUAGUUUAGAUACAGAGGUUCUUUAUUAUCGAAGAGUUGUUUUUAAUUCAAGUUAUUAUUUUCACUUUAAUUUGGGGGUUAUAUGUAUAAAACCAGAAAUACAUAUUUUAAAAUCUUAAUGGAAUAAUUAGUCACACAAGUCACUGAGAUAUUUGGUGAAAAUAUACUGUAUUCUGAGCAGGAUAAUCUUCCUUUAUUGCAGAUGGAGGAAAAGUUGUAAAGUCUUGGGAAAGAAAAUGGUUUUGGUGAACAGCUCCUGGGUAUGUGGGCCAAUCACAGCCAAUUAGAGGCUAUUCAUUAAGGGCCCAAAAGUGUUGCCUGGGUAGCAGAUUAAUAAUGGCACAGACCUCUUUCAGGUUUCAUGACAGGGCCUAUUCUUUGCCAAAUGUAUCACAUUUGAGAGUCUGUAGCCUGUUAAGUGUAUUCACUAGGGGAAAAAAAAAUUAUAAUUUCCUGAGUUUUAGGAAUUAUCUUUAUGAAAUUCCCCAUAUUUCCACAAAACUCCAAUUUCUCAAUAACUUUACAGAAAACAGUGCAAAUUCACUAACUAGUAACUCAUUAGAAAAAUCUAGUAUUUGUUGUACGAGCAAAUGAUGUGGUAAAUCAAAGUGCUGCUCACACUUAAAGCCAUAAUUUAUAUUUUUCUACUUUCUGAGUUUCUCUCUUCUCAUGUGUCCUAUUUCCCCUUUUGACUAAAAUAAAAGAGCAAUUUGAGAUAACUUGAGGAGAGAAUCUGCAGUUUAACUGGAUUCUCUGCUCUAAAUUUUCCUUUCUUUUUGGUUUUCUCCCUCAUCUCUUCCCUCCCUGGUUUCCUCCGUUAUAGCUGCAUCCUCAUCACCAUCAAAUAGCCCCUGUCGUUACCCCAUGUAACCUGCAGGAGCAGAAUUCUGGGCACCAGAGGCAGGGCCACCAAAGUAUAACAUACCUUCUGUGCCCUCCAGGAGCUGGCAGCCUAAUCAAGGAGGCAAAACACAUACAUAUAGGUACACACAUCUUUCCUGCCCUCAUUCUUUCACCCUCCAAAUACCUACUGAGCACCUCCUACACGUCAUACUCUGUGUUAGGUGAUUUUAAAAAAAGAAGAUCACCCUAGCAACAAUGACCAAAGUAGCUAACACAGCAAAAUACAAUAAUCACCAAAUGUCUCACAGUCCAAAAGUGUUAUGGAAGACCAGAAGAAAAGAGAUUUAAAAUUGAAGGAAGGGAUCACAGACUCUAAACAGAAGAGACAGAGUGGCAAACUAUAGGAUGAGGAUGAGCAUCAUCAAUUACCCCAACCUGUGAGAGUAACAUCAGAAAGAGCUGUCCCUCUUAAGACCCUCAUCAGUGAUCUUUAGGACAUAUAGCCCAGUAUGUGGGGCUAAAACCUGGGGUGACUGGAGAGUUAAUAUUGAAAUCUGCUCUAUAUAAAUAAAAAUAAAUUUGAAAUUGGGGCUCUAUGUUCCUUCUCUACCAUAACUCAUAUUUUGGGGGUUGAUCUGGAGUUGGGGAUAAAGAACUAGAAUUCGAAGACCUGAGCUUAAGCCCUAUUUCUGUUUAUUUACAUGGCAUUAAGGAUGAUUAGAAAUUCCAAAUUGCACUGUAGAUGGUUAACUAUUAUUUGUCCCUAAAAUGCUAAGUGAUUCUGCUAAAUUUCAUUUGUCCUUAAAAAAUGGUAUUUAUUAGUCUUUGAAAAAAAGAAUUAUUGAGAGAGGAGGUAACAUCAUUUUUAGGAGUCUCUGUAGUACAACAAAACUAAAGAGUUUGUAUUUACAGUAAUUACUAGAAAAAGGAAAAGGAAUUCCAAAUAUGAAUGUAUUUUAUGACAUUUUUCUUUCUCCCUCAUAGGUGGAAGACCAAGUGAAAUGACACAUUCGUAACUAUCACCAGAAAACACCCCCCACACACAUAUACGUUCAUCAGAUACUAGAAUUCUUGAAAGACAAAUCGUUGUUGUUGUUAUUUUAAUUCUAACUCAGCCUCAUUCCAAUAUUUUUUAAAGAGUCCUUAUGCAGUUUUCGAGCUAAUUAUUUACCAAGUAGAAAUUGGAAAGGAUUCAGUCUGGACAAAGUCCAUUUUAAUGUAAUUGUUCUGGUGUUUAGUGCAUCCUAGUAUUUGUCAUCUGUUGCUCUUGCUUUGCAUUCAAAGGGUUUUGGAUAUGAUGCCC
This 3367-nucleotide long non-coding RNA is filed under the name Sus scrofa (pig). Its description in RNAcentral is "lncRNA (ENSSSCG00000053851.1)". The record is from RNAcentral. Lineage: Eukaryota; Metazoa; Chordata; Mammalia; Artiodactyla; Suidae.